GACGAACGCUGGCGGCGUGCCUAAUACAUGCAAGUAGAACGCUGAAGGAGGAGCUUGCUUCUCCGGAUGAGUUGCGAACGGGUGAGUAACGCGUAGGUAACCUGCCUGGUAGCGGGGGAUAACUAUUGGAAACGAUAGCUAAUACCGCAUAAGAGUAGAUGUCGCAUGACAUUUGCUUAAAAGGUGCAACUGCACCACUACCAGAUGGACCUGCGUUGUAUUAGCUAGUUGGUGAGGUAACGGCUCACCAAGGCAACGAUACAUAGCCGACCUGAGAGGGUGAUCGGCCACACUGGGACUGGGACACGGCCCAGACUCCUACGGGAGGCAGCAGUAGGGAAUCUUCGGCAAUGGACGGAAGUCUGACCGAGCAACGCCGCGUGAGUGAAGAAGGUUUUCGGAUCGUAAAGCUCUGUUGUAAGAGAAGAACGAGUGUGAGAGUGGAAAGUUCACACUGUGACGGUAUCUUACCAGAAAGGGACGGCUAACUACGUG
This 495-nucleotide ribosomal RNA is filed under the name uncultured bacterium. RNAcentral describes it as "partial 16S ribosomal RNA". It matches the Rfam family "Bacterial small subunit ribosomal RNA", at positions 28 to 507 of the family's 1533-position model. The record is from RNAcentral.